GGAACCCUGAAGGGGUCAUUUGAACCUUUCAUAUCUCUUCCUCUCAGAGACUGAUGAGCAUCUUUUCAAUACAGCAGCAGCCGUCUGCCUUCUCACCUACAAUAUGUCUUUGGUGGAAACCAAGACGUUUUUGGCAUGCUGUCUCCUACCUUCGGCUCAACGGCACAUGCGUGGAAAGAGGGAGAACAGCUGUUUGGAGCUCUGCAGAGGGUUGAGCACAUUUCACGCUGAGGUGACGGACAGUUUCAGCAGAGCGUGUCUCCCCAACUCUGUGGAACAGGAACGUCAGGUGGCCACCCAGAAUGCCAUGGUCCAGAAUUUGAAUGACUUCUGAGGGAUAGUGGAAGAAACAAGCAAGCAAGCAAGCAAACAGACAGACAGACAGAUAUCUGUGGGAGAGUGGACCUCAAGAAACUUGAUGGCCAAGAUAACAUGAGGGUCUGUGACUGAGCUUAUCCCAGCAAUCAGCAUGGACGGCUGCUGAGCAGAUUGAGCUACGUCGGACCCGUGGUCCACAAACUCUCAACUCCAAUCUCCAAACAAGGAACCACUCAGCUACUGAUAAUGGAAUGUGCCUUUGGAAGCUCCCCUUCAGCUUUCUCAGCCUCUUUGUGAUCAAGCUAUUUACUGGGCAGACAAUCUAAGCAAUAAAACUGCCAUAAACUGCAACAGACCAAGCUAAUAUAAAUUGUAUACUGUGUAGUCACACAAGCAAGAAUGAUAAUUCCCCAUCUCUCUUACUGAAGAUGGAAAAUGUAAGAAGGGCUAAGGACUCCUCAGGAGGGGUAUGAGGAUCCUCAAUAGGAUGUUUGGGCUGGAGUUACUUUAUAUA
This is a long non-coding RNA of Rattus norvegicus (Norway rat), 832 nucleotides long. RefSeq lists it as uncharacterized. The record is from RefSeq and is a predicted model, not a curated record. NCBI's taxonomy places the organism in Eukaryota, Metazoa, Chordata, Mammalia, Rodentia, Muridae.